RNAcentral lists this ribosomal RNA (642 nucleotides) under uncultured bacterium. RNAcentral's name for it is "bacterial SSU rRNA". It matches the Rfam family "Bacterial small subunit ribosomal RNA", at positions 390 to 1051 of the family's 1533-position model. The record is from RNAcentral.
CAUUACUCCGCGUGCGGGAAGAAGGCCUUCGGGUUGUAAACCGCUUUUGGCAGGAACGAAAAUGACGGUACCUGCAGAAUAAGGUGCGGCCAACUACGUGCCAGCAGCCGCGGUGACACGUAGGCACCAAGCGUUGUCCGGAUUUAUUGGGCGUAAAGAGCUCGUAGGCGGUUCAGUUAGUCGGGUGUGAAAACUCAGGGCUUAACCCUGAGACGCCACUCGAUACUGCUGGGCUAGAAUUCGGUAGGGGAGUGGGGAAUUCCUGGUGUAGCGGUGAAAUGCGCAGAUAUCAGGAGGAACACCGGUGGCGAAGGCGCCACUCUGGGCCGACAUUGACGCUGAGGAGCGAAAGCGUGGGUAGCAAACAGGAUUAGAUACCCUGGUAGUCCACGCCGUAAACGGUGGGCACUAGGUGUAGGUUCCAACCAACGGGAUCCGUGCCGUCGCAAACGCAUUAAGUGCCCCGCCUGGGGAGUACGGCCGCAAGGUUAAAACUCAAAGGAAUUGACGGGGCCCCGCACAAGCAGCGGAGCGUGUUGCUUAAUUCGAUGCAACGCGAAGAACCUUACCUGGGCUUGACAUGCAGAGAAAGCGGUAGAGAUACCGUGUCCUUCGGGGCUUUGCACAGGUGGUGCAUGGCUG